GCUGGCGUAGCUCAAUGGUAGAGCAGCUGAUUUGUAAUCAGAAGGUUGCGGGUUCAAGUCCCAUCGUCAGCU
RNAcentral lists this transfer RNA (72 nucleotides) under Myxococcales bacterium. RNAcentral's name for it is "tRNA-Thr". It matches the Rfam family "tRNA". Rfam says of the family: Transfer RNA (tRNA) molecules are approximately 80 nucleotides in length. Their secondary structure includes four short double-helical elements and three loops (D, anti-codon, and T loops). Further hydrogen bonds mediate the characteristic L-shaped molecular structure. tRNAs have two regions of fundamental functional importance: the anti-codon, which is responsible for specific mRNA codon recognition, and the 3' end, to which the tRNAs corresponding amino acid is attached (by aminoacyl-tRNA synthetases). tRNAs cope with the degeneracy of the genetic code in two manners: having more than one tRNA (with a specific anti-codon) for a particular amino acid; and 'wobble' base-pairing, i.e. permitting non-standard base-pairing at the 3rd anti-codon position. Lineage: Bacteria; Pseudomonadati; Myxococcota; Myxococcia; Myxococcales. The record is from RNAcentral.